UAUUCAGGUUAAAAAAGAUGGACAGGAGCCUUGUGGGGCUCUGGAAGGGCUCCAGGGCAGAGUGAGGGGGAAGAUGCUAAGGGACUGUCACUGCAAAGAUAACAAAAUUAAGCAGUGAACUAAGAGGUAAGUUAUACCAUCAAUAUGCACAGUAAUAAAUGGCAAUGAAUCACUGGAGAUCUCUUGCUUUAAUGAUGCUGUUGUAAAAAUGAUGGCCCUGAGCUAUUUCAGACCACGUAUACUGAAUUUUGGCUGGUGCUUAUCAGUUUAUAUGCAGGACAAUUUAUAGCAUGCAACCUAAAUGAAAUGGUCCUUUGGACAAGAAGAAAUGGAUUGCAGGUGCAAACAAGCAUGAAAUGAAAAUCUACUAAUGAGUUUCCAUUAGCAGCUAAAUACAUAAUCGAAUAAUUUUAGGCAGCACAGAGCAAUGAGAAAAUCAAUUUAUUCAUCAUAAGUACUAUGGUAUAGAUUGAUAUGGAUUGAUGCUCUAGUACAUCUAAAAGUGGUUUCCUUAAGUGAGACCCGGGCUUUGGAUAAAGUUAAAGCUCAGCUAAUAGCAGCAGAACAUGAGUUUGCUUUUAUGGAAUUUGAAUGGAAACUAUUUUCUUGGGAAACCCUAAAUAACCUAAGCUAAAAGAGGCAUUAGUUAAUACGGAGUACUUCUGUCUGAAAGUAGAGACAAAAUAUUUCAGAAUGAUGGACUAGCACUGGCAAACCUGAGCUUACCUAGGAAUAUCAUUAAUGACAUUAGCAUCACUUUUUAUCUGGUUUGAAGCAAUUAUAUCCUCAAUUUCCUUCCUUUUUGCCUUAAGCAGCAUCUAACCUGACAUUUGUUUGCAUUGUGCUUUCGCUCCUUAUCUAACUGCGGUAAAUAUUUCUCCUUCAGCUAUGGAGGCCCUCAGUUCAAGGCUCUUGCAGCUCGUACAUUAACACAAUGUGUAACCAGGCAGCUGCCUGGGAAGUGCUCGUGAGGAGCCUUUCCACUAGGAUUCUGAAGACACUUUGGUCUUAUAGGGGUGCCAAUUCAGCGAGGCCAGAUUCUGUUCACCUUUAGUUCCAGCAAGGCAUUUGUCCCAUGGACCUCCACAGCUCCUGGAAGAAAUAAAGCUCUGCAAAGCAGAGCCUGGCUGGCCGUGACUCGCCUUCCCCGUCUGGCUCUUUUAUCAACUGAGAGGUAGGUGGGUUUCUGCAGCAUCCCCUGGGAGCCACAGCUCGGAGAGGUAAGAGCCCUCAGUGCUUUUCAGGUACUGAAACCAGGAGGAAUUUUAAAUGGGGUAGGCUUGGAGGCUGACAUUAUGUCAGUCAAUAAUUUAAGACUCAAUAGUUUAUGAAUCAAUGUAGGCAUAUUAUUUACCAAACCAGUAGUCAAGGGAAAUAAUAAUAAUAGAGAAAGAGAAAACCAAAAGUUUUAGGAUUGCUUUUCAAGACCUCAUUUUGAUGAGUCAGCUGUAUUAGGUUUUACAGACAGCAUCAGUGAUCGAUGUCAUGAGGAUCUUGGAUCAGAAGGGGUUAUGCAAUAGGGACAGGUUUCAGUGGGCAUUAGUUCUCAGUGGAGCUUAUACAUGGAAGCCACAUCUCACAGUAGGUGCAUCAGCUGAAAAUGGACUUGCUUGGACAUGUGAUACCAGACAAGCCUUCGGUAAAUGCAUGGCUGCGUAUAAAUCUCCUAUUUUGGCAUGGCAAAUAUAUCCCAUUGUAACAGAAACUUCAGCGACCUCUGAAUGGAAACGUGCCUCCGGGUUGCAGUCUGGGCGAGGAAGAGGCUGGAGCCCACGACACUGAUGGCCACGCGAAAAGCCUGGUGCUCAGCCAUCGGCUCUACCCAACGAGCAGCACCGCGAGCGGCUGCGUCGGGUUCAAUGGGCUGACAGCCUGCGUUCACACAGCACUUUGUGUUUGAUGGGAUCCCUAAAGGAUUUACGAAUUUGUCAAACUGAAAUCUCAUCCAUUCACCACUGAAGUCAGCUUCCUCGUGCCAGAAGCACGGAGCUCCGCGAGGCACCGGUAUAGAGCAGGGCGCGAUGAAUAAUAACGCGCUGUGGAAGCGCUGAGGGGGAGUUUGGGCAGGUGCAGUGCAGUGAUCUAAGCUGACAUGUGGUAAGAGUGUGGGAGUUUUUACAAACCAAUUUCUGAAAAAUACAACAUGGCAUCUCUCGUGUAUUCAGCAUUUCAGGUGUGGGUUUCUUCUGAAAGCAGAUCCUCUAGCUUUAGGCAGCUGUCAGAUCCAAGGGCUGUAAGACAGCAGGAAAAAUCUCUUUUCACCCCAAAAAAGAUGUAUAAGAAGUGAGUAACUUGUCUGUUUCUAAUACUAGAAAAGGUUAUUGCCUUUAUCCUUGAUUGUACCACUGCCACGGAGCACAGCUUCAUUAGGAAAUGCUGCUGGCUGCGGGAGCGUGGGGUCUCCGUGGGCGCUGGUUCUGCUGGGCUGCAGCCUGUCUUCCUCACCCUCCUUACCCUCUGCUUCCCCCAGCAGCCUCCUCUGCCUGCCCACAGAUCCCAACGAUGGAUAUAAAGGUCAUUUUCAAAUCCAUGAAGUAGAUUUUUUGAAAAGUAAUUUUCAAAUCCAUGCAGAAUGCCAUUCACCCAGGAUAUUUCCUUCUGAUUCACCCUGAGUUAGUGCAGAAUGAAUGCCUGAUAGGACCCCACAAGGAAGCACAUCUUUCUUCCUGGUCCUUCCCGGUGCUCAUUGCAGCACUGCUGGUUUUCACUGAUGGUUUUUUUUUGCUUGGUACCUUUGUGUUUGUAUUUCUGCAUGUCCCACAGGCAGCCCUCAUGGCUCAGGACUAUGCUGCGCUUGGUGUCUGUUGCUCAAGCAGGCUGCAAAAUGAAUUUCUCCCCAAAAGCUCACAAUCUAAGAUCAGGAAUGAUUCAUGGACUAAAAGAUGUUUUCCACGAAGUAAUGUUAUAUCUUAGUAAGGAGGAAACUGUAGAUGUGAAAAACUUCUCUGCUUUCCUGGGGAGCUGCCAGUUUUGUGGGCUUGCCCAUGUGUUGCCCCAAUCCUCCUGCAUACCACAGCACCAAACCUGCUCCGGGGUGGCCUCGCAGGGGAGAGCAGCCAUGCCUUCACAGCUUCCAGGGGGACCAAAAGCACCUGAGCAUCCUCCUCCCUGCUCUGAUGGGACCUUGCACCUGGAAAGCAUGGGGAGGAAAAUCCUGGAGUCACUGCAGGUCAGAUUUUAGAUAUUGCAUAAAAAGGAGACUUGGGCUGUGGACACAUGAGCACGUUGCCCUGAGGAUCCCGUAAAUCAACUGACCUGUGAGAGCCGCUUCUUAUCUGCAGCGAAAACCAGCCCAUGCAAGAAGGAAUUGGCUCUUUCCUUCUCUACGAAGAUGCAUGAUCAGACUUCCACGGCACAUCCUGCUUUGCUCAAAGGUCUGCGCUUAGCAGAAUACAAGAGGCUGAGAAAUGCUGAGAAAUGGCGCAUUACGUGUAAGGUGGUGCAUUCACGGAGAAUUACAGCUCUUCCAGAGAGAGCCCAAUUGCCUGGAUGCGCUAUGAAAAAAGCAGAGAUGUUCCUGUAAUGCCGGUGUUGGGCAGCAGGAUCGUGAAAGCAUUUCUGUAAUUACGCUUGCAAAGUACAGAUGUGGGCUUAGGGGAAGUGCUGAGGGCGUGCAGAGCUUUUCUCGCUGCAUCAGCAACUUGGACCCAGGUAGGUUUGUGGAGGCAGAAGGGCCUGGGUGGUUUGGGGACCGUGGCAGCAGCAUGAAGGCAGUCGAGCUGCCCCAACACGGCUGCUUUGCUGCAGCGUGAACAAGGGGCUGCGAGCCUGGCACUGCAGGGGCAAUUUUCAGGACAACUAUAGUUAAAUGAUUAUCAACAGGAACAAUGAUUCCGCUGAAUAAAAGUAAAUUAUGUUACAUUAAUUAUACAGAUUACUUAAAAGGCAAAAGUUACAGAACAAUAUACAUUAGGAGAUGUAUCUAUUUCCAAAGUCCUUACGACCAUACUUAAAUCUUUGGAGUUAUUACUCACCUUUAACAUAGUUCCCAUCAACUGCAGUGUAAGCCUUAGAGCUGACACUUCAAAUAAGUACAUGAUAUAGUUCAGCCCUAAAACCCUUAACAGAAAAUACAUCAGGACUUACUGUAAAAUUUCAUGGAGGAUUAGAGAAAAUAUUAAGUCAAUAGUUCUCUAGUUAUUAGGGGCUUUUAAGGUAAUCAAUACUUUCUAGCCAUAUUAGUGCCUGCGAAGAUAAAAGAUGACAUUAAUAUCCAACUCUUCUUUUGUUGCUCUACUUAUGUAUCUCCUGUAUAUCCUUUCUUUAGUCAGCCCUGCUAGAGUCAAUACCGAUACCAAGAAUGUGGUUAUUUUUAAAACGUGAUCAAUAUUGAUUUAUUUAUUACUGCCAGUUUCAAGAGGAACUUGAUUUCAGGUAAAAUUUUACUCUUCCAUAGAGAAGAACUGCCAGUCACCCUAAAACUUCGGAGUACCACCUGAUUUGGCUAUGGAGGCAUUCAUGUUUAGCAGUUUGCUAAUGCAGCAAAGAUGGUUUUAAGAAAAUGUUAAAUAGGAUUAAUUCCAAUAAUUCUUUAUAGUUAAAUGCUAUUUUAUGCCUUGCAAGCAUUACGCAGAUGUUAAUUAAAUUUAAUUGAUAUAAUUCAGUCCUAAGCCUAUUUGCACGCGGUUAAUAAUUGUUUUAUCAAUGACAUGUAUUCUUUCCUUUGGUUCUGUUUCAAAAAGUGGAGACAGCCGUCCUGUGUGCGGUCUUUGGGCUCUGUCUUCCUUCCUCAGGUAACUCAGGAAUACGACAACGUUUCAGAUCUUUUCCAACAACAGUGUUCUUGAGUGUCCUUGCUUUUGUUUCCCACCAGUCUGCUGGCUUUCUUCUGUAUU
Molecule: long non-coding RNA, 4835 nt
Organism: Oxyura jamaicensis (ruddy duck)
Lineage: Eukaryota; Metazoa; Chordata; Aves; Anseriformes; Anatidae
Exons: 5
Source: RefSeq, a predicted model, not a curated record